AGUCUAUAAAUCUAUCUUUGAUUAUCUGUGAGAAUAAUGUUCAUAAGUUGCAACCAUUUCUUAUCCCCGUUUUUUUAUAUAUAUUAUGAAUAGGUGCCCCUUUUGUUGCUGGCAAGCAUUACUAACUCCAAUACGGCUCCGCCGGGCCUGUAUCUGUAAUGGUUUGCCGGAAGUGGGAUGUCAAGAACAUUGACGGACGAUACAUGGGCACCUACUACAUUAUCUCCGAUAAGAAGACUUACAUGUAGUCCACAACCAUUAGAUUGGAGGAGAUGAGGGUGAAAAGAUGAGAUUCAGAGCAGUGGAUGUCCAAUCGUUUGCUUCCAGCCCCUCUUAAGAACGAAUCAGGUGAUAUAAACAAUAUAAAUGGCAGGAAACUCGAGGUGUUAAUGAAGAUAAUUUGUUUCAAAACCUUUCUAAAGACCUUAGAAGAGAUAUAAAGAGCCAACUUUGUCUGCAACUACUAAAAAUGAACACUUCUUAUCAUUUUUUAUUUGUUUCCAUUACAGAUUCCACACAAAUUUAGGCUUCCCGGGUGCCGAUGUUUGAUAAGAUGGAUGACCAGCUGAUGGAUGCUAUGUGUGACCAUCUGAAACGAGUUCUGUACUUGGUUUAUGCAAUAAAGCUACAAUCCCAUUUAGCCGCAAUAUUUCAAUUGAUGAAUAUGAACCUAACAAGGCAGUUAGAAGAGAAAAAUUGGUGGAAAAGAUGUACCAUGAAUCCAGAAGAGCAAUGAAAUACUUUUGUAAUCAGGAGAAAGCUCGACGAGUACUUGGGCGCAUGCCAAAAGCACACCUGAUUAUCACCUGGUAUAAGAUUUAGCUUGAGAUUGAUGAUGGCAUGAUGAGGACAAUUGUGGUGUUGUUUGAUGAACCCAGCGAGAAGUUGCUCAAUAGGACUGCCAAGUCCCUGGUUGCUUGAAGGUGCAAGAUGACCCACUUAAUGCAUCUGGGCAGCUGCUUUGAGAGCCGUAGUCUUCAAAACUUCCACUUUUAUUCCACUGAAAUGGGGUUUCCAUACACGAUGUGUCACUCAUCCUAGAAUGGCUUCCUCUACAAGUUACGACAUCUCUGUUAAGUUAUGGAAAUAAUCAAAUAAACGUUCAAAUGUGCCCAUUUGUCCACUAACGGCAGGGCUCUGCCAAUACACGCCAAGUCAAGUUUCAAUUCUUUUGCAGGUGCAAUUGCCCCUUUUCAGGAUGUUGAUAAGGAAUAUAGAGUGAAAGCUUAAUGCAUUAGUGGUGCCACACCGUAGCUUCAAACUGAAACAGGGAUGUCAAGCUUGCAGGAAAUAUAUAUAGUGUUCUCUUUUGCCAACUUAUGUAUAAUGUGCUGCGUGUUAACAAAGAACAAGACAACAUGACUAAACGGUUUGGUAGAUAGAGAGGUUGCAAGAAUAACUCUCAUAUAAAUCCUCUGAGGUACAACAUCAAGGAGAAUAAGUUUCGGGGAAAGGUGGAAAUGGUGCGAAGAGCUAGAGGAGCGACUGAAUCUGAGAAGACGGGUUAUGGUUCUUGACACAAUUCGUUCACUUAUAUAAUUUAAUGAUGCAGAAGUUGGUUAAAAAGGGUGCAAGCUGUUGUACAAGAAUUGUAGAUAUAUGUCAUGUUGAACUUCGUCAUUAAGGACGGUGAAGCUCAAAAAAGUGUGCGUGCAUUGCAUUUUUGUUGAUUUACAAAUGGGAACAACAAAAUAUAGAUGUUAAAAUGGUGGUUAUAACAUACGAGGCAGCCUGUGUUGUAGGUGUUGACAAUGAAGCAAGGGAGAUUUUGAAUAGAAGCACCUGGUGGUGUUAUUAUUGAUGAGCGAGCUAACAAUCACUUCCCAGCUCCUUUUGAAGUUUCAAACAAAGAUGAUGUAGCAGUUGCAUAAGUUGUCGGGAAGAGUCUCCAGAUGGAAACUAUUGAAAUCUAACGCCUCAGAAAGGUCCAUUCUAUUCCAUAAUUAUCUCUAUAUCUAUGCCAAUCUCCAUAUAUAUCUCCAGUUACAAAAUUAGUUAUUAGACACUCUAGGACAUUAGAUUUUAGUUGAAUUUUAUAGUCAUGACCAUGAAAUCUGAUAUCUGGUUUAUUCGAGAUGUAGCAUUAAUAUAUGUCAACCGUUAGAUAUGCUUAAAAAACUUAGGCAGUGCAUCAAAGCCAUUUUUCGCGCUAUGAUGACGCCUUC
Erigeron canadensis is the source of this 2165-nucleotide long non-coding RNA. RefSeq lists it as uncharacterized. The record is from RefSeq and is a predicted model, not a curated record. The transcript is spliced from 10 exons. Lineage: Eukaryota; Viridiplantae; Streptophyta; Magnoliopsida; Asterales; Asteraceae.